RNAcentral lists this ribosomal RNA (931 nucleotides) under uncultured archaeon. Its description in RNAcentral is "bacterial SSU rRNA". It matches the Rfam family "Archaeal small subunit ribosomal RNA", at positions 1 to 921 of the family's 1478-position model. The record is from RNAcentral.
UGUCGACGAAUUCAGAUUUUCCGGUUGAUCCUGCCGGAGGCGACCGCUAUUGGAAUUCGAUUAAGCCAUGCGAGUCGAGAGUCUUUAAGGACUCGGCGUACCGCUCAGUAACACGUGGGUAACCUGCCCUAUGCUGGAGAAUAACCUCGGGAAACUGAGAAUAAUACUCCAUAGUUCACCACGCCUGGAACGGUGGGUGGAUCAAAGCUCCGGCGGCAUAGGAUGGGCCUGCGGCGUAUCAGGUCGUAGGGGGUGUAAAGUACCCUCUAGCCUUCAACGCGUACGGGUUGUGGGAGCAAUCGCCCGGAGAUGGAUUCUGAGACACGAAUCCAGACCCUACGGGGUGCAGCAGGCGCGAAAACUUCACACUGCAGGAAACUGUGAUGAGGGAAUUCCAAGUGGUAUGACAAAGUCAUAUCUUUUACCAACUUUUAAUCGGUUGGUGAAUAAGGGGUGGGAAAGACCGGUGCCAGCCGCCGCGGUAAUACCGGCACCCCAAGUGGUCGUCGCUUUUAUUGGGCCUAAAACGUCCGUCGCCUGUUUGGUACAUUCGUGGGUAAAUCAACCAGCUUAACUGGUUGAAUUCUGCGAGGACGGCCAGACUAGGGACCGGGAGAGGUAUGGGGUACUCUCAGGGUAGGGGUAAAAUCCAGUCAUCCUGAGGGGACCACCUGUUGCGAAGGCGCCAUACUAGAACGGAUCCGACGGUCAGGGACGAAGCCUAGGGGCACGAACCGGAUUAGAUACCCGGGUAGUCCUAGGUGUAAACGCUGUGGACUUGGUGUUGGGGACUCCACGAGUGUCCCCAGUGCCGGAGUGAAGAUGUUAAGUCCACUGCCUGGGGAGUACGGUCGCAAGGCUGAAACUUAAAGGAAUUGGCGGGGGAGCACAGCAACGAGAGGAGCGUGCGGUUUAAUUGGAUCAACGCCGG